Molecule: ribosomal RNA, 435 nt
Filed under: uncultured bacterium
Lineage: Bacteria
Description: bacterial SSU rRNA
Rfam family: Bacterial small subunit ribosomal RNA
Source: RNAcentral
AACGCGAAGAACCUUACCCGGGUUUGAAUUGCAGUGGUUGUAGUCGGCAGAGAUGUCGGCGACCCCGCAAGGGGACUACUGUGAAGGUGCUGCAUGGCUGUCGUCAGCUCGUGCCGUGAGGUGUUGGGUUAAGUCCCGCAACGAGCGCAACCCUUGUCCUUAGUUGCCAGCGCGUAAUGGCGGGCACUCUGUGGAGACUGCCGUCAUAAGACGGAGGAAGGUGGGGAUGACGUCAAGUCAGCAUGGCCCUUACGUCCGGGGCUACACACGUGCUACAAUGGCCGGUACAACGGGCAGCGAGACCGCGAGGUGGAGCGAAUCCCUUUAAAGCCGGCCUCAGUUCGGAUUGCAGGCUGCAACUCGCCUGCAUGAAGUUGGAAUCACUAGUAACUGCAGAUCAGCUACGCUGCGGUGAAUGCGUUCCCGGGCCUUGUA